RNAcentral lists this ribosomal RNA (378 nucleotides) under uncultured bacterium. RNAcentral's name for it is "bacterial SSU rRNA". It matches the Rfam family "Bacterial small subunit ribosomal RNA", at positions 28 to 412 of the family's 1533-position model. The record is from RNAcentral.
GACGAACGCUGGCGGCGUGCCUAACACAUGCAAGUCGAACGGGGUACCUUCGGGUACUUAGUGGCGAACGGGUGAGUAACGCGUGAGAAACCUGCCUUUCAGUGGGGGACAACAGUUGGAAACGACUGCUAAUACCGCAUGAUGUUAUUUGAGGGCAUCCUUGAAUAACCAAAGCUUUAUGUGCUGAAAGAUGGUCUCGCGUCUGAUUAGCUAGAUGGCGGGGUAACGGCCCACCAUGGCGACGAUCAGUAGCCGGUCUGAGAGGAUGAACGGCCACAUUGGGACUGAGAUACGGCCCAGACUCCUACGGGAGGCAGCAGUGGGGAAUAUUGGGCAAUGGGGGAAACCCUGACCCAGCAACGCCGCGUGAAGGAAGAA